UGCAUCGAUGAAGAACGCAGCGAAUUGCGAUAAGUAAUGUGAAUUGCAGAAUUCAGCGAAUCAUCGAAUCUUUGAACGCAGCUUGCGCUCUCUGGUAUUCCGGAGAGCAUGCCUGUUUCAGUGUCAUGAAAUCUCAACCACUAGGGUUUCCUAAUGGAUUGGAUUUGGGCGUCUGCGAUCUCUGAUCGCUCGCCUUAAAAGAGUUAGCAAGUUUGACAUUAAUGUCUGGUGUAAUAAGUUUCACUGGGUCCAUUGUGUUGAAGCGUGCUUCUAAUCGUCCGCAAGGACAAUUACUUUGACUCUGGCCUGAAAUCAGGUAGGACUACCCGCUGAACUUAAGCAUAUCAAUAAGCGGAGGA
RNAcentral lists this ribosomal RNA (359 nucleotides) under uncultured fungus. RNAcentral's name for it is "eukaryotic LSU rRNA". The stretch from base 1 to 126 matches the Rfam family "5.8S ribosomal RNA", at positions 29 to 154 of the family's 154-position model. Lineage: Eukaryota; Fungi. The record is from RNAcentral.